CCUACGGGAGGCACCAGUGGGGAAUAUUGCACAAUGGGCGCAAGCCUGAUGCAGCCAUGCCGCGUGUAUGAAGAAGGCCUUCGGGUUGUAAAGUACUUUCAGCGGGGAGGAAGGUGUUGUGGUUAAUAACCACAGCAAUUGACGUUACCCGCAGAAGAAGCACCGGCUAACUCCGUGCCAGCAGCCGCGGUAAUACGGAGGGUGCAAGCGUUAAUCGGAAUUACUGGGCGUAAAGCGCACGCAGGCGGUCUGUCAAGUCGGAUGUGAAAUCCCCGGGCUCAACCUGGGAACUGCAUUCGAAACUGGCAGGCUAGAGUCUUGUAGAGGGGGGUAGAAUUCCAGGUGUAGCGGUGAAAUGCGUAGAGAUCUGGAGGAAUACCGGUGGCGAAGCCGGCCCCCUGGACAAAGACUGACGCUCAGGUGAGAAAGCGUGGGGAGCAA
Molecule: ribosomal RNA, 441 nt
Filed under: uncultured bacterium
Lineage: Bacteria
Description: bacterial SSU rRNA
Rfam family: Bacterial small subunit ribosomal RNA
Source: RNAcentral